This 129-nucleotide small nucleolar RNA is filed under the name Neogale vison (American mink). RNAcentral describes it as "Neovison vison (American mink) Small nucleolar RNA SNORA31 (ENSNVIG00000013734.1)". Lineage: Eukaryota; Metazoa; Chordata; Mammalia; Carnivora; Mustelidae. The record is from RNAcentral.
UUCCAUCUAUUCGACAGAUCCAAAGCAGUUACUGUCUGCUUUUAAGGUUUCUACCACAGUUGCAAGACCAAAGGGUCCUCAUGCUUUCUGUCUGACUGUGGCAGCCAAGAUUCAAUAGGGAGAAAAACA